CUACCAGGGGAAUUAGCAGAUCAGCUCACAGAGCAACAGAUGUGGCCCACACCCAUUCGAGGGAAAGAGAAAAAAACACAUUACGCAUGGGUCUCCAACUUAACACCACUGUCAACUUAACAGCAAAGCAGUUGCACAAAUUCAUCCAGGAAAGGGAGUGAACGGAAAACGUAUUGUUUGACUUGGAAUGGCACUGACUGACAUCAUCAUGAAGGCAUCAACCACAGCAGGUCCGGCAAUAACCAUGACAUCGCCAGAAGCCUUCGAACAAGGAAUCAUUGAGGACGUCACCCGUCUGGUCACACAGAAUUUCACAGAACACUUCACACAACCCUUCAGAGCUGAGGAUGACGACCGUGACAGAAUCACCCACCAACCAAGGACCAAGCGGCGUGGUAAAAGACCGCGAAGAAAGCAGCAGCAACAACAGCGGCCAGCAUCACAGGAC
Long non-coding RNA from Oncorhynchus tshawytscha (Chinook salmon), 448 nucleotides. The record is from Ensembl. NCBI's taxonomy places the organism in Eukaryota, Metazoa, Chordata, Actinopteri, Salmoniformes, Salmonidae.